CAGGGUUCACCUUGAACCUAGAAGUGUCCUGGAGCAGAGCUUUAGCUGUUGACUUUUAUACUCUCCAUUUGACUUCUGUUGUGCCUGAUGCUUAUUAAGUCUGAAACAUGCUGAAUUUCAAGAGUGCUCUUAGUUGAAGAGAUAAACAGUUGUACUGAGUAAGGGACAUUUAAUGUUUCCUGUGGGGUGCUGUUGUCUAAAAUGAAUAGGAGCUUGCUGUGUUUUAUUGUCAUGAUUAGAAAAGUAGGAAGACUAAUUAUGGCACAGAUAAUUAUGGCCAGUGUUUCUUGUGGAGGUGGUAGUUUUGGCAGCCCACAAGCUGCCGCCUUGCUUGUGGUGGUGCAUCUGUUUGUGAGGCUGCAUGAUAAAUAGAUCUGGGAGCUUUUGUGGGUUAAAUAUAACCAAGUCACCAUUUCUUCCUCUAGCUACUGCCACAGAAGACAUGAAGGAUUGUAUUUACUCAGAUCUGUUCCUGGUCUGGUUUACAGUAAUGUCUCAAAAGUUACAGUGGCAUGGGAACAGCUAGUGGCUGUUUGAGGAUGGGCUUGCUUUAUUCACUCGUGCUUCUAAAAUAAAUGCCCUUUGAGAUGGCAGUUGUGACUGUUGUGUGCAUUGUAGACAUCAGUCAGGAAAUGGAUUGAAACUACCACCUUCUUUCACGUGGUCCACCACACAUUAGUCAGUUACUAGUAAUUUUGCUGUUGCUCUUGACCUUCACCAGAAGUUUGAUCUAGUAAAUGUAUGAAUACUGUAACCAGUCACCUGUGGUUGUGGAGUCCUUUGGCAUUAAUUUAUUUAUCAUUGUCAGACUGACCACUGCUGCAUCACAGGGAGCUCUGUAUGCUGCACGCAUCUUGGAGACAUGGUAAUGAUCGCAGAAAUGUAGAUCUUAAAUCAACAAGGAUUUACUUGGGCAUUCCUGUACUGUGCUCUGCCACAAAGCUUUCCGUUGCCCACACUGUUCAUGACAAAUUGUAUCAAGAGUAAUCUUUUCAUAUGUGCUGCUUCCACAGGCAUGUCAGUUUUCUCUCUUUGUUUUCUGUUGCUACAGAAUAUUUGUUCUUGUUUGUAGUGUGUUGGUUUUGGGUUUUGUUUUGUUUGUUUGUUUUUUCACAUGAGGAAAGAAUAGAUCAGUACAUGUGAUAGUUUCAAUUAAAGUCAUUUGGAUGAAGCAUAAGUAAAUGAAGUCCCAACAAAAUAUGCGCAGUUUUUUGAGAUGGAGGUUGUCAUCUCUCUGUGCUCAGUACCAAAGCUGACAUAACUUUAAGGCAUCUCCACUUCAUACGAAUAGGUGAUCUGUGUCCCUGUGAUACUCGUAUACCAGAUGGUUUUAUUUCAAGUCUUAGCGUUUGUGGGAUUUCUUCUCUGAACAAAAAGAGUGAUCUUAGAGCACUGUAUGUUAUUUUUUGAAUGUUGCAAUAAUGUUUCCUGGUUGCUGAGAAAAUAAUCAGUGAUGCCUAUGAAACAUUUGCUCUUCUUUAACUUUCUUAAAAUACUAGCUUUAAAGGUUAUGGUUUUUCCCCUCUCAUUCUACAUAAUUAACCAGAGCACCUGCAGAGGACAGUUAUUAUUUUUUUUUCUUUGUAUUCUGAUGCCAUUAAUGAUAUCAUCUUAAUCUGGUACAUGCUAUCUCCAGAGCAGUGGUUUUCCUCCCCUUUUUCCUGAAUUGCUGACUGAACUAAGCAUCUUCUUGUCCAGUCUUUUAGCUUGUGUAGCCAACUGUAUCUUUGGAAAUAAAAGAACCUCACAGGCCAGCUCAUUUUAUAAAGAAUUUUAGAUUUAUUUUUUUUCUUGCAAAUUUUACAUUUUUAAUCAGAGUAGAAAUAAGGUUUCAGAUACUCAGUAUUCAAGAAGCUGAACUAAAAGGGAAGAGCACAGCAAAAAAACCAAAAACAAACUACUGCUCUUUCAGAACAAUCUUUCAUACUCCUUCAGUAAACAGUGAAAUGCAUUAAUAGAAUACAGGCAACAAAAAGAUGCUGCAACUGGAACAGAACCAGUAAGUGUGAGGAAUAGAAGUUGUAGGAAAAUAAGGAUGCUAUAGAGAAGCUGUGUAACUUACUUGCACCAAUUUUAUAUCUGCUGAAUGCUGUGAUAUGCUUGUUUUACAAGGUGCUAAGAAUGGGAGAUUUGCAGCCGGGGAAAUCACAAGAGGGAAGUGCUGGGUUAGGUUUAUGAA
Strigops habroptila (Kakapo) is the source of this 2179-nucleotide long non-coding RNA. RefSeq lists it as uncharacterized. The transcript has 2 exons. The record is from RefSeq and is a predicted model, not a curated record. Lineage: Eukaryota; Metazoa; Chordata; Aves; Psittaciformes; Psittacidae.